This 497-nucleotide ribosomal RNA is filed under the name uncultured bacterium. RNAcentral's name for it is "partial 16S ribosomal RNA". It matches the Rfam family "Bacterial small subunit ribosomal RNA", at positions 28 to 507 of the family's 1533-position model. The record is from RNAcentral.
GAUGAACGCUGGCGGCGUGCCUAAUACAUGCAAGUCGAGCGAACAGACGAGGAGCUUGCUCCUCUGACGUUAGCGGCGGACGGGUGAGUAACACGUGGAUAACCUACCUAUAAGACUGGGAUAACUUCGGGAAACCGGAGCUAAUACCGGAUAAUAUAUUGAACCGCAUGGUUCAAUAGUGAAAGACGGUUUUGCUGUCACUUAUAGAUGGAUCCGCGCCGCAUUAGCUAGUUGGUAAGGUAACGGCUUACCAAGGCAACGAUGCGUAGCCGACCUGAGAGGGUGAUCGGCCACACUGGAACUGAGACACGGUCCAGACUCCUACGGGAGGCAGCAGUAGGGAAUCUUCCGCAAAGGGCGAAAGCCUGACGGAGCAACGCCGCGUGAGUGAUGAAGGUCUUCGGAUCGUAAAGCUCUGUUAUUAGGGAAGAACAAAUGUAUAAGUAACUAUGCACGUCUUGACGGUACCUAAUCAGAAAGCCACGGCUAACUACGUG